RNAcentral lists this ribosomal RNA (497 nucleotides) under uncultured bacterium. RNAcentral describes it as "bacterial SSU rRNA". It matches the Rfam family "Bacterial small subunit ribosomal RNA", at positions 34 to 518 of the family's 1533-position model. The record is from RNAcentral.
CGCUGGCGGCGUGCCUAGCACAUGCAAGUCGAGCGGGGACAUACGACGGAGUCAAAGUUUCGGAUGGAGACGAAGAUGUAUGUUCUAGCGGCGGACGGGUGAGUAACGCGUGAGCAACCUGUCCCUUACAGGGGGAUAACACAGCGAAAGUUGUACUAAUACCGCAUGAGACCACGGGAGGACAUCCGUCCAGGGGUCAAAGGAGCAAUCCGGUAAGGGUGGGCUCGCGUCCGAUUAGAUAGUUGGUGAGGUAACGGCCCACCAAGUCGACGAUCGGUAGCCGACCUGAGAGGGUGAUCGGCCACAUUGGGACUGAGACACGGCCCAAACUCCUACGGGAGGCAGCAGUGGGGAAUAUUGGGCAAUGGGGGGAAACCCUGACCCAGCAACGCCGCGUGAGGGAAGGAGGUUUUCGGAUCGUAAACCUCUGUCCUUGGUGAAGAGGAAGAGACGGUAGCCAAGGAGGAAGCCCCGGCUAACUACGUGCCAGCAGCCGC